This 460-nucleotide ribosomal RNA is filed under the name uncultured bacterium. RNAcentral's name for it is "partial 16S ribosomal RNA". It matches the Rfam family "Bacterial small subunit ribosomal RNA", at positions 338 to 795 of the family's 1533-position model. The record is from RNAcentral.
CCUACGGGUGGCAGCAGUGAGGAAUAUUGGUCAAUGGGCGCGAGCCUGAACCAGCCAAGUCGCGUGAGGGAGGACGGCCCUACGGGUUGUAAACCUCUUUUGCCGGGGAGCAACGGGCGUCACGUGUGGCGCCACUGAGAGUACCCGGAGAAAAAGCAUCGGCUAACUCCGUGCCAGCAGCCGCGGUAAUCCGGGGGAUGCGAGCUUUAUCCGGAUUUAUUGGGUUAAAGGGGUGCGUAGGCGGAUGGUUAAGUAAGUGGUCAAAUUGGGGGGUUCAACCCCUUCCUACCAUUGAAACUGGCGGUCUUGAGUGGAGGAGAGGUAUGCGGAAUGCGUGGUGUAGCGGUGAAAUGCAUAGAUAUCACGCAGAACCCCGAUUGCGAAGGCAGCAUGCCGGCUUCCGACUGACGCUGAAGCACGAAAGCGUGGGGAUCGAACAGGAUUAGAUACCCUGGUAGUC